Molecule: transfer RNA, 61 nt
Filed under: Chattonella subsalsa
Lineage: Eukaryota; Raphidophyceae; Chattonellales; Chattonellaceae
Source: RNAcentral
CUAUGGCUCAGUCGGUCGAGCACGCGCCUUCUAAGGCAAAGGUUGCGGGUUCGAUUCCCGC